GGAUGAACGCUAGCGGCAGGCUUAACACAUGCAAGUCGAGGGGUAACACGGAGUGCUUGCACUUUGGUGACGACCGGCGGAUGGGUGAGUAACAGGUGUGCAACCUACCUUGUAUUGGAGGAUAGCCCAAGGAAACUUGGAUUAAUACUUCAUAAUAUUAUUGAUUGGCAUCGAUUAAUAAUUAAACAUUAGGAUACAAGAUGGGCACGCCCUCUAUUAGUUAGUUGGUAAGGUAACGGCUUACCAAGGCAUUGAUAGAUAGGGGUCCUGAGAGGGAUAUCCCCCACACUGGUACUGAGACACGGACCAGACUCCUACGGGAGGCAGCAGUGAGGAAUAUUGGACAAUGGAGGCAACUCUGAUCCAGCCAUGCCGCGUGCAGGACGACGGCCUUAUGGGUUGUAAACUGCUUUUAUAGGGGAAGAGCUUCAAGCUUGCGAGCUUGACCGACGGUACCCUACGAAUAAGGAUCGGCUAACUUCGUGCCAGCAGCCGCGGUAAUACGAAGGAUCCAAGCGUUAUCCGGAAUUAUUGGGUUUAAAGGGUCCGUAGGCGGGCUAUUAAGUCAGCGGUGAAAUCUUUCGGCUUAACCGGAAGCUUGCCGUUGAAACUGGUAGUCUAGAGUCAUUGUGCAGUGGUUGGAACGUGCAGUGUAGUGGUGAAAUACAUAGAUAUUGCGCAGAACACCGAUUGUGAAGACAGAUCACUAACAAUGUACUGACGCUGAGGGACGAAAGCGUGGGGAGCAAACAGGAUUAGAUACCCUGGUAGUCCACGCCGUAAACGAUGGUCACUAGCUGCUCGGGAUAAUUGCGUCCUGAGUGGUUGAGCGAAAGUAUUAAGUGACCCACCUGGGGAGUACGUUGGCAAGAAUGAAACUCAAAGGAAUUGACGGGGGCCCGCACAAGCGGUGGAGCAUGUGGUUUAAUUCGAUGAUACGCGAGGAACCUUACCAGGGCUUAAAUGUAGAUUGACAGGAGUGGAAACACUCCCUUCUUCGGACAAUUUACAAGGUGCUGCAUGGUUGUCGUCAGCUCGUGCCGUGAGGUGUCAGGUUAAGUCCUAUAACGAGCGCAACCCCUGUCGUUAGUUGCCAGCGAGUCAUGUCGGGAACUCUAACGAUACUGCCGGUGCAAACCGUGAGGAAGGUGGGGAUGACGUCAAAUCAUCACGGCCCUUACGUCCUGGGCUACACACGUGCUACAAUGGAUGGGACAGAGAGCAGCCACUGGGCGACCAGGAGCGAAUCUACAAACCCAUUCUCAGUUCGGAUCGAAGUCUGCAACCCGACUUCGUGAAGCUGGAAUCGCUAGUAAUCGCAGAUCAGCCAUGCUGCGGUGAAUACGUUCCCGGGCCUUGUACACACCGCCCGUCAAGCCAUGGAAGCCGGGGGUGCCUGAAGUUCGUUUCCGCAAGGAGCGACCUAGGGCAAAACUGGUAACUAGGGC
RNAcentral lists this ribosomal RNA (1448 nucleotides) under uncultured Flavobacteriia bacterium. RNAcentral describes it as "16S ribosomal RNA". It matches the Rfam family "Bacterial small subunit ribosomal RNA". The record is from RNAcentral. Lineage: Bacteria; Pseudomonadati; Bacteroidota; Flavobacteriia.